RNAcentral lists this non-coding RNA (515 nucleotides) under Drosophila ananassae. RNAcentral's name for it is "Eukaryotic large subunit ribosomal RNA". It matches the Rfam family "Eukaryotic large subunit ribosomal RNA", at positions 981 to 1454 of the family's 3401-position model. Lineage: Eukaryota; Metazoa; Arthropoda; Insecta; Diptera; Drosophilidae. The record is from Rfam by way of RNAcentral.
UGCAUUUUAAUGGUAUAUAAAAUAAUCUUAUCUGGUAAAGCGAAUGAUUAGAGGCCUUAGGGUCGAAACGAUCUUAACCUAUUCUCAAACUUUAAAUGGGUAAGAACCUUAACUUUCUUGAUAUGAAGUUUAAGGUUAUGAUAUAUUGUGCCCAGUGGGCCACUUUUGGUAAGCAGAACUGGCGCUGUGGGAUGAACCAAACGUAAUGUUACGGUGCCCAAAUUAACAACUCUUGCUGAAACCAUGAAAGGCGUUGGUUGUUUAAAACAGCAAGACAGUGAUUAUGCGAGUCGAAAUCCGCUAAUGAAGUGUGCAACAACUCAUUUGCCUAAACAACUAGCCGCUAAAAUGGAUGGCGCUUAAGUUGGAUACCUAAACAUGUACCGCAAAGUAGAUGAUUUAUUAUUUCGUGGGAUAAAAAUUUUUGAAAAUUUUAGUGAGAAGGAAGGGACAAUGGGUUUGGUAUAAGUGUUUGGCGAAAGCUUGGCGGAGUAAUCUAUUGGGACAGAUCUUGG